UGCCCUUUAUAGUCAAUUUUUAACAAUUUUCAUAAAUUUGUACAUUUUUACAAAAUAUUUUCCACUGAAACUACUAGGCUAAGUUCAUUAUAGAUAGAGAUAAUUGUAAGCAUCAAAAAUGUUUAGUAAAGUAAGAUCUACGAACACAUCACCAUCACCAAAACACAUAGACCAAGGUGAGCGACACAGGCUCUUUAGAGCCUCUAGUUAUAUAUAUAGUUUAGACCUUUGGUUUUCCCGUUUGAAUGGUUUUACACUAGUCAUUUUGGGGGAUCCUUAUAACUUGCUAUUCGGUGUGAGCCAAGGAUUUGUGUUGAAGAGGGUACUUUAACCUAUAAUAGUUUCCUUCUACACACUGUGACUUGGAUGGAGAGAGUUGUCUCAUUGGCACUCAUACCACAUCUUCUUAUAUCUAUAUAUUAUUUCGAUAUGUUUAAUUGGGGUCUGGAGCUGGCAUGUCAGUUACUGCUAGUAGUUCUUUGUUAAUUUAUGAAUCAUAUUCAUUUUGUGUAGUUUCUUUUGUUUACUAUUUUGUCAUCGGACUCGGAUUUCUUUUAAACUGAGUUUUUUCUGUGCAUAUUGUUGUGUGUUUGUUUAUUCUACAUGAGCUAGAUAUAGUUGUAUAGCGGGAGGGUUGAGAUCUCACAAAGCAUGUUUAGCCCCGCCGUAUUUUUGCGCCUGUCCCAAGACAGGAGACUCUGAUCUUUGUUAGUUUUUUAUGUUUUUUUUUUUUAUCUAAGUUAAGUGUGACGUCCAUUUUCACAUAACUAGUAUAUAUUUUUAUUUAGAGACCAGCUGAAGCCCGCCUCUGGUUGCGGGAUUUUCUCGUUGUGUUGAAGACUCAUUGGUGGCCUUCGGCUGUGCUCUUUGGUUAGGCUGUUGUUUCUUUGACACAUUUUUUAUUUCCAUUCUCAAUUUUAUUGAUUGAUCAAUUGAUUGAUCAAUUGAUUGAUUGAUUGAUUGAUUGAUUGAUUGAUCAUUUUACUACAAGCAAAAGUCAUGAUCAUUUGAGAAUCCUUUAUUUGUAUUGUAGUGUUAAUUUCACCAAUGAAACUCUACAUUAAUUUUUGUCUUAAUAUUAAAUUUCUUUGUAAACUCUAAAAUUACCGUCUGAUUAUAAUAAGACACGCAAGAAUAAAAAAAAAUUAUUUGGCCUUCAAUGUCUCAACCUUUUUUAAUGUGAGUAACUUCAUUGUUCAGUUAGAUUUCGAUUUUGAUAUUGUUCUUGCAAGUUUCCAUAAUAGAUUUCCGGUAAUUGUUCUGCAUAAAACCCUAUGGGAAAGCACAUUGACUUAAUUUUCCAAACGUUUAUUGGAACCCAAUGAUUUGGCAAGGUGUUGCAACCUGUAAUGUAAAGAAGUUACAGCCGAUUGCAUUGAGUGUGUAGGCAAAGGUAGCAUAUCCUUGGUUAGCUUGCUUGUAUUAUUAGGUUAGGUAAGCUACCCUCCUUUAAGAGUAGACUAGUUCGAC
Molecule: long non-coding RNA, 1470 nt
Filed under: Mytilus galloprovincialis (Mediterranean mussel)
Lineage: Eukaryota; Metazoa; Mollusca; Bivalvia; Mytilida; Mytilidae
Source: RNAcentral